AAGUUUUGGUCCUAAACUUGCCAUUGUUUUUUAUCAAAAUUAUACAUGCAAGCCUCCACACACCAGUGAGAAUGCCCACAUAUUCUUAAACAGAAGACCGGAGCAGGCAUCAGGAUACAACAAUUAAGCCAAGGACGCCUUGCACAUGCCACACCCACACGGGCCUUCAGCAGUAAUUAACAUUAAAACAUGAGCGAAAGCUCGACUUAGUUAUGAUUAAUAUGGCCGGUAAAUUUCGUGCCAGCCACCGCGGUUACACGAAAGACCAAAAACAAUGACCAACGGCGUAAAGCGUGACUAGAGCAUCAACAACUACUAAAGGGAAAUAACUGCCAAGUUGUAAAAUACUACUGCAUGUUAGAACUACAACAACAAAACACCUUUAACCCUCUUUACCUCACGAAAGCUAAGAAACAAACUGGGAUUAGAUACCCCACUAUGCCUAGCCUUAAACAUAAAUAGUACCAACACAAUACUAUUCGCCAGAGAACUACAAGCGAAAAGCUAAAAACUCCAAGGACUUGGCGGUGCUUCAAACCAACCUAGAGGAGCCUGUCCUAUAAUCGAUACCCCACGAUAUACCUUACCUUUCCUAGCCAACCAGCCUAUAUACCGCCGUCGUCAGCCUACCUUGUGAAAGCAAUAAAGUAAGCAAAAGAGUCAAUAACUAACACGUCAGGUCAAGGUGUAGCACACGAAGAGGUAGAGAUGGGCUACAUUUUUUCAAAGGAAAAAUUACGGAUAGAAAAAUGAAACAUCCACUUGAAGGCGGAUUUAGUAGUAAAAUAAUAAAGAAUGAUUAUUUUAAACCUGCUCUGAAGCGCGCACACACCGCCCGUCACCCUCAUCU
RNAcentral lists this non-coding RNA (850 nucleotides) under Tumbunascincus luteilateralis (orange-speckled forest-skink). RNAcentral describes it as "partial 12S ribosomal RNA". It matches the Rfam family "Bacterial small subunit ribosomal RNA". Lineage: Eukaryota; Metazoa; Chordata; Lepidosauria; Squamata; Scincidae. The record is from RNAcentral.